This 253-nucleotide ribosomal RNA is filed under the name uncultured bacterium. RNAcentral describes it as "partial 16S ribosomal RNA". It matches the Rfam family "Bacterial small subunit ribosomal RNA", at positions 524 to 776 of the family's 1533-position model. The record is from RNAcentral.
UACGUAGGGGCCGAGCGUUGUCCGGAGUUACUGGGCGUAAAGCGCGCGCAGGCGGCUCGUCAAGCCUGACGUGAAAGCCCCCGGCUCAACCGGGGAGGGUCGUCGGGGACUGGCGGGCUUGAGGGCGGCAGGGGUUGGUGGAAUUCCCGGUGUAGUGGUGAAAUGCGUAGAUAUCAUCAGGAACACCGGUGGCGAAAGCGGCUUACUGGGUCUCUUCUGACGCUGAGGAACGAAAGCUAGGGGAGCGAACGGG